RNAcentral lists this ribosomal RNA (510 nucleotides) under uncultured bacterium. Its description in RNAcentral is "bacterial SSU rRNA". It matches the Rfam family "Bacterial small subunit ribosomal RNA", at positions 28 to 520 of the family's 1533-position model. The record is from RNAcentral.
GAUGAACGCUGGCGGCGUGCCUAAUACAUGCAAGUCGAGCGAACAGAUAAGGAGCUUGCUCCUUUGACGUUAGCGGCGGACGGGUGAGUAACACGUGGGUAACCUACCUAUAAGACUGGAAUAACUCCGGGAAACCGGGGCUAAUGCCGGAUAAUAUUUAGAACCGCAUGGUUCUAAAGUGAAAGAUGGUUUUGCUAUCACUUAUAGAUGGACCCGCGCCGUAUUAGCUAGUUGGUGGGGUAAUGGCUUACCAAGGCAACGAUACGUAGCCGACCUGAGAGGGUGAUCGGCCACACUGGAACUGAGACACGGUCCAGACUCCUACGGGAGGCAGCAGUAGGGAAUCUUCCGCAAUGGGCGAAAGCCUGACGGAGCAACGCCGCGUGAGUGAUGAAGGUCUUCGGAUCGUAAAACUCUGUUAUUAGGGAAGAACAAAUGUGUAAGUAACUGUGCACGUCUUGACGGUACCUAAUCAGAAAGCCACGGCUAACUACGUGCCGGCAGCCGCGG